UCGAGGGGCAGCAUGAUUUGUAGCAAUACAGAUUGAUGGCGACCGGCGCACGGGUGAGUAACGCGUAUGCAACUUACCUAUCAGAGGGGGAUAGCCCGGCGAAAGUCGGAUUAAUACCCCAUAAAACAGGGGUCCCGCAUGGGAAUAUUUGUUAAAGAUUCAUCGCUGAUAGAUAGGCAUGCGUUCCAUUAGGCAGUUGGCGGGGUAACGGCCCACCAAACCGACGAUGGAUAGGGGUUCUGAGAGGAAGGUCCCCCACAUUGGUACUGAGACACGGACCAAACUCCUACGGGAGGCAGCAGUGAGGAAUAUUGGUCAAUGGCCGAGAGGCUGAACCAGCCAAGUCGCGUGAAGGAAGAAGGAUCUAUGGUUUGUAAACUUCUUUUAUAGGGGAAUAAAGUGGAGGACGUGUCCUUUUUUGUAUGUACCCUAUGAAUAAGCAUCGGCUAACUCCGUGCCAGCAGCCGCGGUAAUACGGAGGAUGCGAGCGUUAUCCGGAUUUAUUGGGUUUAAAGGGUGCGUAGGUGGUGAUUUAAGUCAGCGGUGAAAGUUUGUGGCUCAACCAUAAAAUUGCCGUUGAAACUGGGUUACUUGAGUGUGUUUGAGGUAGGCGGAAUGCGUGGUGUAGCGGUGAAAUGCAUAGAUAUCACGCAGAACUCCGAUUGCGAAGGCAGCUUACUAAACCAUAACUGACACUGAAGCACGAAAGCG
RNAcentral lists this ribosomal RNA (711 nucleotides) under uncultured bacterium. RNAcentral's name for it is "bacterial SSU rRNA". It matches the Rfam family "Bacterial small subunit ribosomal RNA", at positions 62 to 761 of the family's 1533-position model. The record is from RNAcentral.